RNAcentral lists this ribosomal RNA (253 nucleotides) under uncultured Rikenellaceae bacterium. Its description in RNAcentral is "partial 16S ribosomal RNA". It matches the Rfam family "Bacterial small subunit ribosomal RNA", at positions 524 to 776 of the family's 1533-position model. Lineage: Bacteria; Pseudomonadati; Bacteroidota; Bacteroidia; Bacteroidales; Rikenellaceae. The record is from RNAcentral.
UACGGAGGAUCCAAGCGUUAUCCGGAUUUAUUGGGUUUAAAGGGUGCGUAGGCGGAUUGAUAAGUUAGAGGUGAAAUGUCCGAGCUCAACUCGGGAACUGCCUCUAAUACUGUUGAUCUAGAGAGUAGAUGCGGUAGGCGGAAUGUAUGGUGUAGCGGUGAAAUGCAUAGAUAUCACGCAGAACCCCGAUUGCGAAGGCAGCCUGCCAAGCCAUGACUGACGCUGAUGCACGAAAGCGUGGGGAUCGAACAGG